CGCCCCGCGCGGCCCCGCCCCCCCACGGCUCCGCCCCCGCCUGCCCCUGCCGACACCGGGAACGGCACCGGGUAACGGAGCGGUACCAGUCACUGGGCAACAGCACCAGGUAAUGGCACUGAGUAACGGCACUGGCCAUCGGACACCAGGCACCGGGUAACAGUGCUGGUACCGGGCACGGGAUAAUGGCAUCAGGCAGUGGCACUGGGUGACAGGUACCGGACACCAGCAGAGGUUAAUGCCACCAGUACCAGCACCAGCAAGAGGUAAUGGCACAGGGUGUCAUAAGUGAGUAGUGGCACAGGCACUAGAAUUCAAAACAGCUUGAGGCUUCAACACCAGCAGCUGUGGUAGGACAGAAACCAGCACCAGAAUUUAGCAGUAAGUACCGGGGAAGCCCAAAGCAGCACCAGGCCUUGGUUCUGGGAGUAGGAAUGACCAAAUCAGUACCAGGUGGCCACAGACGUGGCUGCAGGGCUGCCUUGUGCUGGGCCCUCUGUGUGAAGCAGCCCUGGCUGCGUGGUGCUCAUUCCCACCACAGGCCUGGGCUGACACUUUGCAGCUACGUGCAAGGCCAAGAUCCCCAGUGCUGCCACAGCCUCCAGCACCUGCUGGGACAAGACGCUGCAUCCCCUUCUUCCAAGCUGCCACGUCCCCUGCAAGCUGUGAGGAGACCCAAGGCACUGCCAGCUCCUCUGCAGUUGCUCAAACAGGGAAAGUUGACAGCAGCCGUAAGAAAACCAUCCUGAGGAGCUCUUGCACAGCUGGCACCCACAGCAGACUCCUCCUGGCAGCACUGUCACCCCAGGGCAGUGGGGUGCCCAGGUGAUGGGCAACCCGGGGUGCGGCUGCUGUGCGGUGAUGGGCAGAGGUGCUGGCAGGAAGCAAUACUGGGUGUGCUCGUUCUGCCCCAGCGCUUGCACCCACCGCAUGGGAUCUCCUGGGCUUUCACUUUCGCUACCAGCUCAUCCUCUGUGGCCUGAAAAAACUCUGGAGGGAAAUUCAGCAAACAGGUCCCUCUCCUGCUCCGGGCUGGUAGAAGCACAGGUGACCCUUCCCCGGUGGGAAUCCAGGAAGGAGGGGCUCGUCUCUCCUUGUGCCAGUGCUGGAACAGGAUCGCUCUCAGACAGCUGGUGCACCAGCAAUUGCAAAUCACUUGGCCACUGUGUCAGAGCACAGCCCCAAGUUCCCACCUCUCUACUCCUUUUAUCUAUUGCUCUUGAACUAAAGUCCUCUGGCUCCAGCUCAGACUCCUCACUGCCUCGUCCAGCUCCACGCUUCCAAGAGAUAAAUACCUGUGGGCUGGGCAGGCACCAGCCCAGCACCUGCUCCAUGCAAACAACAGCCACAAAACGGUGCUUUCCAACUGCCAGCCCCACUUCGUGCCUGAAGCAGCCUUGGUGAAUGACUGAAUGAGUGACUCCAGCCCGAACAGCCCUCAGCUCCCACUAAAUAUUUUGCUGCCUGUGCUCACCCUCUUGGGAGAAUCUCACGCACAAAGGCUGACACAUCGCUGCUGAGCCACUGCCAGCAGAGCCCUGGCUGCAGUUCCCAGUGCUCCUGGGGCACUCCAGACCUCACAGAGAGGUGAGCUAGGACCCUGGCAAGUGGGGACAGGCACCCAAGGUGAAGCCAGCAGCUCCCACACUGUCUGUAUGCAAUGAAACAGAAGAAAAGGAAUGGAGAAUGCAGCACAGGGCCCUGGUGCCUGCCCACCCUGCUUGGCUGGGACGCUCUUGCUCUGGUCCCAAGGAAAACUCCAAGCUGGCUGGUGGGGAUGUUACCAGGAGAAAUUCUUCCUUUCCAGAGGAAAAGAACAGAGGAACAGUGACUGAAGCAGUGACCAAUGGAGAGGCUGCCCCUGGAUCUGCCCUGGAACUGCCCCAGCUCCAUCCCACCGAUGCCCCAAAGCAAUCUUAGCCCUGCCCUGGCUCUCUUUGGGCCUCAGAAAGUCUCGGGAAGCCUCUGGGAAGGUGAGCAUUAUCCAGGCUGAGCUGCAGCCGGACGCAAGGCCACCUCGCAUGAGCUCAGCAGGAUGCCGAAUGACGCUGCGCAUUCCGGGGACAGAGGGAGUCUGGAGCUUCGUAAUGGAUUUCCGAGAAAAUUGCCUCUGUGUUUGGAGCAGGAGUGCAACGAGUGCAGGCGGAACAGCCUUCCUCCCUAAGUGGCAUCUCAAGGGUCUUAAUUAUUUCUCAGGAGUGGAAACAUUUAUUUAGGCGGCUUUGGAGAGGUCCUGACGCUUUUGGCUACUGCCCUCCGGGCACAUCCUGCAUGCAAGGCUCCUCUGCAAUCCUCCCUGCUGCUCCCGGGAUGUGCGGAGUGCUGGGCUUGGGCAAAGCACAAACACCCAACCAUGUCACCUGCGGGCAAGAACACCGCCUCGCCUCUGCUCCAUCCCCUCCUGCUUCCUGGGAAGCAGCAGGACAUCUCAUGGGGGAGCCCAGCCCCAUCCCAUCCCUGCUUUGCAUCCCUCACACUCCCAGGUCUCAAAACAAAACCCCGUUGUGAUAAUCCAGCCCAGCUAAUGUGAAACAGAUGAAUCCCCACAUUAGUCACAGAUUCACAUUUUCCCACAAAGGUCCCACUGGAGAACCAGUGAGGAUGGGCCCUGCGGGGUUCCAGCCCUGCUGCUGGUGCAAGAGGCAGCCUGUGAAGAGUGGGGCCAGCAGCCGAGGGGACAGGGCAGCAGCACAGACCCUGCCAGAACCCGGCCACCCAUGGACAGCACACGACUUGGAGCCAUGGGCAGGGCAAAGGGGGGGCACCAGAGAUGCUUGUCACUGGCACAGGCUCAGCCUGAUGGUGCCUAGUGCCAGCGGGAGGGGAUGAUCUGUUCCAGCAAAAACUGGAAAUGACAUUUUGUCCAAGGGGGAAUUUCCACAGGAAACCUCUGCUUCCAGCCACUCGGAUAUGGCUGGGAACAACCCAGCAAACAUUUGGCCUCAGCAGCCAAGCAGUGCCAUUGCUUGGGCAAAGACUCAUUGUUUCCUCCAUAGUUCCUCCAGCUAGGAAAGAACAUCCAGUUUCUGCUACUGAAACAGCCAAGACAGGACAGCGAGAGCCCGACUGGGUCUGCAGAGGGCACCAGAACCCCCCAUCAGCUCAGUGAGUAUCUCUGCACCUGAGGGGGCACGGGGGGCCCUGCAGCACCCACAGCCCAGCUGGGACCAAGGGCACAAUCACUUCAUGCCCACCCCAGUGCCGGGGCUGGCUGGGGGCAUCAGGAGCACACGCAGAGCACUUGACCCUUGGCCCCCACCCCACGCUGGUGCAUCCCGACAUCUCUGCACAUCCCCACGCAUCCCUGUCCUCUCCCUGCGUCCCUGCUCUCCCUUGCAGAGCUCAGUUGCCACAGUAACCGCUCAGUCCCAGCCACUCCUGCCACAAACGUGCAGCCACAGGUCAGCCCAGUCCAGCGGCUGCACCAGGGCCAGGGCCCUUCACCCCAUGUCGGGGUGAGCAGAGCCCUUGGUGCUGGUGCCACCACAGCCAGAUGCUGCAUUCUGAGCCAGGAUGGGACACCUGUAGGGAAACAGGCAGGAGGUGGUGUUUUUGGAGAUCACACUGUGCUGGAGCUCUGGGUCUGACCUCUGCCACGUGUGGCAGUAGAAGCCACCACUGCUUGGUUCUUCUCUGCUGUGUAUUUAUCUGAGUGUGAUGCAAUAUUUAUUUGACUGUUGUGUUCUGAGUACUGGAAGCAGGGAUUGGGAUGGCUCUUGGCUUGGGCAGCAGUGGCAUGUGCUCUGCAGCUCCACAUGUGUUGCUGUGGGAAGAUCCUACCCAGCACCUGGGAGGGCAGAGGCGAGCCUCAGACAGGUCCUUGGACAGGUGGCAACUGAGUCCCAGGGGUCUCUGCCUCCCAUCCCUCACUGCAGCCCUGCUCAUUCAGUUGCUUGGCCCUGGGAUAAGCUGUGGCCUCUCUAAUCCCUGUCUGCUGCCUUAUUCCCAAGGACCUGUUAAUAUUGCACAGCUCAGACACCCCAGGUACCUGUGGGACCCUACAUGAGCGCCUGCUCUGGACUGCCCCUGGUCCAGGGCUGCCCUGGCAGGUGGCUGCCCAUCCCCAUGGGGCCGCCCUGCACCCGUCACGCAAGUGUCCACAUCCCAAGCGGAUUAUCUGCAUUUGGAAACCCCUAAUCCGUUUGCACGCUUGGCUCAGACACUGUCCCCACUCCUCCCCACUGUGCUGCGGCCCUGGGCAAGGAGCAAAGCCACCCCGUGACCUCCUUUUGGAGCCACAAACAACCUUAUGCCCCAGCACAGGCAGAAAGCAAGGGCUGCAGCCCCGCGGGGCUGACUGG
Molecule: long non-coding RNA, 4301 nt
Organism: Vidua chalybeata
Lineage: Eukaryota; Metazoa; Chordata; Aves; Passeriformes; Viduidae
Exons: 2
Source: RefSeq, a predicted model, not a curated record